CAGCCGCCGCGGUAAUACGUAGGUGGCAAGCGUUGUCCGGAAUUAUUGGGCGUAAAGGGCUCGCAGGCGGUUUCUUAAGUCUGAUGUGAAAGCCCCCGGCUCAACCGGGGAGGGUCAUUGGAAACUGGGAAACUUGAGUGCAGAAGAGGAGAGUGGAAUUCCACGUGUAGCGGUGAAAUGCGUAGAGAUGUGGAGGAACACCAGUGGCGAAGGCGACUCUCUGGUCUGUAACUGACGCUGAGGAGCGAAAGCGUGGAGAGCGAACAGGAUUAGAUACCCGAGUAGUCCCUGUCUCUUAUAA
RNAcentral lists this ribosomal RNA (301 nucleotides) under uncultured bacterium. RNAcentral describes it as "partial 16S ribosomal RNA". It matches the Rfam family "Bacterial small subunit ribosomal RNA", at positions 509 to 809 of the family's 1533-position model. The record is from RNAcentral.